AUAAAACCGAUGAGGAAGAGAAGUAAACAUUUAUGCAUCAUUCCAGAGAGCAGACGUUGGUGGAAGUCUGUAUGAGGCUGAUUGUUGAAUGGCCUUCCGAGGGCAGUCCGAAAUCUCUGUGCAGAGAGUAGGCACUGACGGGAACCGAACCCGUUACCAAUCAGGAGUGUAUGUUUGUACAUGAGAAAGUGGACAUUUUGUCAAUUUGAGUGGUACCGCGAUAAUAAGAAAUUAUUACCGUCUCAAGC
RNAcentral lists this non-coding RNA (248 nucleotides) under Blautia sp. RNAcentral describes it as "T-box sequence". It matches the Rfam family "T-box leader". Rfam says of the family: Uncharged tRNA acts as the effector for transcription antitermination of genes in the T-box leader family. The record is from RNAcentral. Lineage: Bacteria; Bacillati; Bacillota; Clostridia; Lachnospirales; Lachnospiraceae.